This 359-nucleotide unclassified non-coding RNA is filed under the name Hevea brasiliensis (rubber tree). The record is from RNAcentral. Lineage: Eukaryota; Viridiplantae; Streptophyta; Magnoliopsida; Malpighiales; Euphorbiaceae.
GUACUAAUCUUCCCUAUCUCCAUCAAUCAUUUCCUUUUAUACAUCCCCUAACAAAAAUUACUUUUCUCAUCACUAAAUUACAUUUUCAGCACCUAAUCUGUUGGAAAUUAGAGAUUUUUGCUUCUAACUUUUGUAGAUUUCUCCAUUGUAUUUACAAAAUUAUGAUUUGGCAGAGCCAGAUGGGGUUCAAAAAUUAACACUUAAUUUUGGCUGAUUAACUUUCUUUUUCUCUUCAUUUUAUAUCAACACUUAAAUAAUUAAUAGAAAUAACUUUAGCUGGGAAUAUAUUUUGUGCACAAUUAACUUAGAGCGGGCAAAUUUUGCAUAUAUAUCAUGUUAAGUCUACUAGCUAUUUGAUU